This 460-nucleotide ribosomal RNA is filed under the name uncultured bacterium. RNAcentral's name for it is "partial 16S ribosomal RNA". It matches the Rfam family "Bacterial small subunit ribosomal RNA", at positions 338 to 795 of the family's 1533-position model. The record is from RNAcentral.
CCUACGGGAGGCAGCAGUGAGGAAUAUUGGUCAAUGGGCGGAAGCCUGAACCAGCCAAGUAGCGUGCAGGAUGACGGCCCUACGGGUUGUAAACUGCUUUUAUACGGGAAUAACGCGCCUUACGUGUAGGGCUUUGCAUGUACCGCAUGAAUAAGGACCGGCCAAUUCCGUGCCAGCAACCGGGGUAAUACGGAAGGUCCGGGCGUUAUCCGGAUUUCUUGGGGUUAAAGGGAGCGUAGGCCGCAUGUUAAGCGUGCUGUGAAAUGGCCGGGCUCAACCCGGGCCGUGCAGCGCGAACUGGCUGGCUUGAGUGCGCGAGAAGCAGGCGGAAUUCGUCGUGUAGCGGUGAAAUGCUUAGAUAUGACGAAGAACCCCGAUUGCGAAGGCAGCUUGCUGGAGCGGAACUGACGCUGAUGCUCGAAAGCGCGGGUAUCGAACAGGAUUAGAUACCCUAGUAGUC